This 1399-nucleotide ribosomal RNA is filed under the name Niea torta. Its description in RNAcentral is "LSU rRNA". It matches the Rfam family "Eukaryotic large subunit ribosomal RNA", at positions 43 to 1443 of the family's 3401-position model. The record is from RNAcentral. Lineage: Eukaryota; Dinophyceae; Peridiniales; Diplopsaliaceae.
UAAAUACGCAGAGGAAACAAAACAAAACUUGACCCCCUCCAGUAAUGGCGAAUGAACAGGGAGCAGCUCAUUGUGGAAAUCAGCGCUAGCUAGCCCGACUUGUAUUCACAAGGUGUAGCACCAGUGGAUGCGCAGGCGUAAACCUGGUGGAAAAGAGUACCAGCGAAGGUGAGAGUCCUGCAUGUAGCCUGCUGCCGUCUGCGCACGGUGCGCAUGCGACGAGUCACGCUCCUUGGGCAUGGAUCGUAAAGCAGGUGGUAACUUUCACUUCAAGCUAAGCACUAGCACGAGACCGAUAGCAAACAAGUACCAUGAGGGACAUCUGAAAAGAACUUUGUGAAGAGAGUUAAAGAGUGUUUGAAAUUGCUGAAGUGGAUGCGAAAGUGAUUUGUGUGACAUGAUUAGACUGCUGCGUGCGCUUCUAUCUUAUUUGCCUUUUGUGCCACGAGUACGGGGGCUAUGUGCGAGCGUGACUUGUGCAGUGUUUCGUAUUCUGUUUGUCGUCGUGGCUUACGCGUGAGGAAACACGUACGACGUUGAAGAAAGUCUCCGGGUCUACGGCUGUCUUCUUCGGUGCGCUUGCUUACAAGCUGUCUGGUGGCCACAGAAUCACUUUCGGCCCGUCUUGAAACACGGACCAAGGAGUCUAGCACCCGCGCAAGCGCACGGACUGCCGAGGGCUGUAUGCAUAAUGAAAAUAAAUGCUGGGCAACUUGUACCAGCGACCAACCAUUCGUUCGAGAAAGGCUUGAGUACGAGCGCGGCUGUUAGGACCCGAAAGAUGGUGAACUAUGCUUGUGAAGGGCAAACUCAGGGGAAACUCUGAUGAAGGCCCACAGCGAUACUGACGUGCAAAUCGUUCGUCAUACAUGGGCGUAGGGGCGAAAGACUAAUCGAGCCAUCUAGUAGCUGGUCCCCUUCGAAGUAUCCCUCAGGACAGCUGGAGACGCGCAGUUUUAUCAGGUAAAGCAAAUGAUUAGGGGAUCAGGGGGCGCGCUGACCUCGACCCAUUCUCAAACUUUAAAUGGGUACGGUUCUGUAGUUGCAUUGUCGAGCUUAAGGGACCAAUGACGCCUCUUAGUGGGCCAUUUUUGGUAAGCAGAACUGGCGAUGAGGGGUGAACCUAACGCUGGGUUAAGGUGUUUAACAGCACGCUCAUCAGAUACCAUAAAGGGUGUUGGUUCAUUUGAACAGUAGGACGGUGGUCAUGGAAGUCGAAAUCCGCUAAGGAGUGUGUAACAACUCACCUACCGAAUGAAGUAGUCCCGAAAAUGGAUGACGCUUAAGCGGGUGACCGAUACCAAGCCGUUGCUGCGGCAAGCUUGUUGCAUUGAGUAGGAGGGUAUCUGGGGGCCGCUAAAAAGCUUGAGGCGUGAGCCUGAGUGGAGCAGUCUUCUGU